GAUGAACGCUAGCUACAGGCUUAACACAUGCAAGUCGAGGGGAAACGAUAGGGAAAGCUUGCUUUUUCUAGGCGUCGACCGGCGCACGGGGGAGUAACGCGUAUCCAACCUGCCCAUCACUUGGGGAUAACCUUGCGAAAGUAAGACUAAUACCCAAUGACGUCUCUAGAAGACAUCUGAAGGAGAUUAAAGAUUUAUCGGUGAUGGAUGGGUAUGCGUCUGAUUAGCUUGUUGGCGGGGUAACGGCCCACCAAGGCGACGAUCAGUAGGGGUUCUGAGAGGAAGGUCCCCCACAUUGGAACUGAGACACGGUCCAAACUCCUACGGGAGGCAGCAGUGAGGAAUAUUGGUCAAUGGACGAGAGUCUGAACCAGCCAAGUAGCGUGCAGGAAGACGGCCCUAUGGGUUGUAAACUGCUUUUAUAAGGGAAUAAAGUGAGUCUCGUGAGACUUUUUGCAUGUACCUUAUGAAUAAGGACCGGCUAAUUCCGUGCCAGCCGCCGCAGUAA
Molecule: ribosomal RNA, 508 nt
Filed under: uncultured bacterium
Lineage: Bacteria
Description: partial 16S ribosomal RNA
Rfam family: Bacterial small subunit ribosomal RNA
Source: RNAcentral